AGUUCAGGGUGAAUCUUCCUCAGCAAAAGUUUUAAAAAAAGCCAUGUGGAAAUAAAAACAUUGUCUCAUCUUGUGAUUUGUCCUUAGAGUUCGCAUGAACUGUUCAGUUCUCAUGCUUUCCAAGCCAAAGACACCCUCUCUAACCUGUUUAUUUGUAUGAUUUUCAUAAGCACCCAACACUUUCAGGUAAGAGAAGUAUUAUGCAAAUGAUGAGAGAAAGGUUAGCUGUGCAGCUCUGGUUGAAGUAGGUGUCAGAACCAAAGCACAGUUGGCCUUCCGUUCCCCUCCCCCACUCAGUGAACUCUGAGGGGCUUUGCUGAGCCCAUUUUGAAACUGUCCUAUUAAUUAAGCUUAAUUAAUUAAGCUCCUUAAUUAAGUCCAGGCUACAUGAUUUGGCUCCCACUUAACCUCUCUAGCCUCAAUCUUCAACGUUUCUUGUUUUACUACCUCCAUUCACACUUUUGCUAGGGCGAUCUUCUCUUCCUAUAACGUUUUCCAUCUUAGUUUGCUCUGCUCACCGUAUAUUAUCAUUACUCAGUUCAAGAUUCUCCACUUUCAGAGGAGUUUCUUUGUUGGUAGUUUAGGCAAAGUAUUCUUUGAUUUCUUAGAGUCCCCUAUCCAUAACACUAUCUUAGCAUUUAUCCUAUUGUGUAAAAGAAACAAUCCGUCUUCCUGACUAUAAAGUGAGUUCCUGGGCCUCAAGAAGUAUGCCUAUUCAUUCCUUAUCUCCAGCAUUCAGAAUAACAACUAGUCUGACGAACUGAGCUGAAGGCAGUGGCAGGAGAACUAGAGAAAAAGGAAGAUUUGGAAGAUGUAUAGAGAAUCUAAUCUACAGGACUUGAAACAAUGGUAUGAUAGGAGUAGCAAGGACUUAAGAAAAGGGAGAAAGUGAAAGUGAUGCCAAAAAGUUUUAGCGUGAGCAACUAGGUACAUGAUGGUAUAUGAUAGGAGUACAGGCAAAACAAAAGACAAACAAAAAAUAGAUUUGAAGAGAAAGAUGAGUUAAGUGGCUGUGUUUGAGAAGUGAGUGGGACAUCAAGAGGAGAUGUCCUUUGAGCAGAUGAGAAAGUGUCUAGAGCUCAUGGUCAAGAUCUGGUCUAGAAAUGUAUUUGGAGGUUUUAAUUAUGUUGGUAAUUUGAAGUUGUGUAAAUGGUCAUAAUUCUCCAGGGAAAAUUGUGUAGAGGGAAGAAAUACGCAAACCAAAAUGUUGAAUGAAGAGAGAACAGCAAAGCCUUUGAUUGGGAGAAUCUCUUGAAAUCGAUAGUGGAAGAAACUAAGAUACUGAAUAAGAUGGAUCAUUUUGUAGAAAUGAACUUUUCCAAGGAAUGGCUUAUAAAUGAAUUGCCAGUGGGAUGAGGGUCUCUCCUGAAUCCAAUGAGGGCAACAGCAUAUAGAAUAAAUAAAUGUAAGGAAUGUGAAUAAAUUCUUUUUCUCUCAAUAUAUUAAAAUUCACCUUUAUGAUGAGGAUUUUUUGGUGACUCAUUUGAAGUGGGAAUUGGAAAGUUAGAAUUUAUUGGUGUUUCUCCAGGGAAGUCUAUUGAAUGCAUUGAGUAAUUCAAUAUUUAAGUAAUCUAAUGUUUUACCAGCCAGCAUCUCCCCUCUCUUUCUCUGGAAACUGCUUUUACUAGUCACUGUCACUGGGUUAUGCUACAUAAUUAAAAACUCUGAAUGUUCAGUUGCUUACAAAACAAGACUGUUUAUUCCUUAUGUUACAGGUAGAUUACAAGUUGCCUACAGAGCUGCUCAGGCUUUGGAAAGGCUCCGGCUGUGCACCAUAUAUCAUCUCCUUCUGGAUCCCAGGUUGAAGAAGCAGCUCCUCUGGGGGACCUGCCCAUUCUCAUGGCAGAGGCGAGGAGGCAAGGAGCUGCUAGGAAAUCAUGAUGCCUCUUACAGCUUCUGCACAGGAGAGUGGCCAAGCAAGCUAAGAGUAUUCCUUAAACCGCUCCAUGGGCAUUUUAGGACAGAAGAGGAACCUAAAGGUUUUUUUUGGUUCCCCUCUCCACCACUACUCCCCUGCCUCCACCCAUUACAUCAGUAGCAUUCAUUGCUCCAGGAUGAGGUUGUACGUAGCCAAGAACAAAGAAGACAACUACAUUUCUGAAUGGGAUUUUUAAAUCAAAACUGAAACAAUAGGCUUUUUAUUAUAAGGGCAGGUUUCUUGAAAGCAAACAAGUUUUUGAGCUCUAAAUGAGUAAGAGCUUGGGAGACUCAGGGCAGAGCAUUUCUGCCAUAAAUCAACGAGUUAGGAGGUAUGGAGCUGUCUACCCAAAGGAAACAGAAGUUCAACCUGCUGGAAAGAAGAGGAGAAUCUGAGGGCAUGUGACUAGAAUUUAGAUGCUGGGAGGUGCCUAAGAAAGGACUCUACCCUCCCUGUGCUCUCUCAGGCAGCUGAGAGGACAAGAAAUUCUCUGGUGGAAGGCAGGAAGGUCUUUAGAGCAGAGAGGAUCUUCAUCUUGCUCCCAGCAGGCCUCACUGAGAAGCCCCCUGCUCCCCACACAGCUGAAGCAGGGUGCCUGACACAUUGCUCUCCACCAUCCAGGAUACUGAGCAUCCAACAUUGCUGAGCACCCCCAAACAGCACAGAAGUGGCUGAGAGUGGGAUGGCAGAAUGAGAGGGGUCUUGUGGUCAGGGUGCAGCUAGCAGAGAUGGAUGCAGACAUGAGGCAGCAGGGGAAAGUAGCUGACGACCAGCCUAGAGGGAAUCGCCCAUCUCAGCAGAUCCUGGGCCAGCUGCCUCUGAGGUCAGCACAACAUGUAAAUCCCCAGAACAGAGAAGGAGAAGGGAGAGGGGAAAAAAAAAACCCUUGACUGACUGAGUUUAAAUCUUUAAAUUGCAAGGUUUACAUAGAAGUUCAAGUCUUAGACCUUUAAGUGGAAUGGGGGCUUAGUAACCAAGUGCAGACAUAAAGAGCCCCAGGAAGUCGUCUUCAGUACAUUAAUGAAUAUUUACCCCCUCUUUAGUGAAGCCUUUUAAAUUUGCGGGAGAUAACUUGGCGCCAAAUAUCAGCUAUUCAGCUUGUUCAGGAUUAAUUAUUUGUGUGGCUUUGAUGACUGUCUUUUCACAAACAAGUGCUCCUUUUACUUUCUGUGAUUGUACAUACCACUGAAGCAGCCCCUAACUAUUAUAGAGGCUGAAGAUCUGUUAAUUUUGACAUAUCAAUGAAUGAGAUACUUCAGCUGGAAUCUGUCCAUUUUUUAAUCAAUGACAUAUUUACUCUCUAGUUUGUGGAAAGUGUACUCUUAAAAUUAACAGUCACUAAGAAAACAACAAGCAAUUAAACCUUAGGAUAGUUUUCUUGAAUCAUCCUCCAAAUUAUCAUAAUUCUUAAAUUGAGAACCGUAGUAUAAAUUCAGAGAGAAAAAUUCCUUAGAUUUGACUAAAUAUCUAGGAGCAAAUGAUUUUCUCUUUAUUCACACUCUUGUAGAGGUUUUUUAAUUCAGAUGUCAUUAACAUUCAGAUUUUAAAUUUGAUAGACAUAUUCGGUGUACAGACUCAACCUGCCUAAGAAGAUGACUAAAACGGGCAUUCCUAUCUUAUUGCACACACUCACUCCAAGUCAGCCUAGAGUUGAUUUCCUUGUUUUGAUACUGGUAAGAAGCUCAUCCUGUUUUAUAUUAGUAAUUCCCACCUUUCUCUCUCUCCAGAAAACAGUUCUCAAGGAAUGCCAAAAUAGCCUGAAAAACAAAACAAGAAAGUCUUAAGCUCUCGUAAGCACAUAAUCAGAUGCUCCCGUCUUUCAUUGUAAACUGCUGUUUGGUAAAUUCUGUUUUAUGUUUCAAAAGAGCAAAGUGGCAGUGUUCUAAUACACUUCUAGUUUUACAACAAAGUCUUGCAAAAGUUCAUGUUCUCAUUGUUAAAUAUGUGGGUUUUUAAGGGCAGCCUCCUUGCCUUAUGUCGAAACCAAGUGAUAAAACAAAGGGAUGUGCUGAAGUCGGUCUAUUUUAUUGCCUACCUGCCACCUUUUGUGGUUGAAUUUUGUUACUUGAUUUAUGAAAAAAAUCUGCAAGCUUGGUUUUUGGGUCAUUUCUGACAGCCUUGUGGUUCAUCCUAUUGCUUAGGAGCUUUGCAUUCUGCUUUUUGCUUGUUUUAGUUUUCAGUGAAAAUGAGUUGGGAGCUUGCAUGGUAUCUAUGCUGUAGCUAUGUAAAGAAUAAAGAGAGAAGACUUUUUAGACUUCUUAAUCAUAUUUAUGGUGUUUUCAGGGUAAAGAUGGCUGAGGCCUGAAUAGAACAGAAAGACAGUUGUGAAUGUUGAAUUUUUCUUCUUUUGAUCACUUCAUUCAGUAAGUAACAAGAAACACAUGAACCAUAAAAUCCUAAGAACUAACUUUUAAGUUCAACAUUUAAAAACCAAGAAAUAUGUGUGUUAAAAACUGGAUAUUAGUCACUGAGCAUACCAUGCAACUUAUUUCUUGCCUUUAUAACUACUUUUUCAAACAGGUUAAAAACUGAUAAGAAGCUCUUGGGAAACUCUUAUCAGUCAUUGCAAAAACUAGCUUAACCCAUCCUAAUCUGGCAAAGACUUAAAGGACCUAAAUUCCUAAAAGCAUUAGGGGAUUUUUUUUUUCUGUUUACUAAGUAUGCUGUGUAAGAAUCGUUUUUGUUACAACAAAUUCAGAGUUAAAAUAUCUUUUUAUUCAUGUGAUAUACUUUGUGAGUGCAUUUGCAGCUCAUAAAGAGAUGGUUGCUUAAGCUGACACUGCAGAACGUUGCCGGAAGUGUUGAUUAGAAUUUGCACAUUUGUUCUGAGUCUGUGAAUUCCAAGCGGGUUUGCUGAUGGGAAGUACUGGCUCUUCCAGGGCUCUGUUCAGCUCUAGAUCCUGGCCACUGAGUGGGUUUCCUAUGUGAUGACUGCUGCUAAUAUUUUGGUGCAUAUCCUUCCUGUCUUUUCCUCUCUUCAUAUACAUUUUUAAAUUUGCAAAAUUAAUCUCAUAGUGUACUUGCUAUUUCAUAAUCUUUUUUCAUUAACAGUAUGUCAUUACUUUUUUUAAAAAAAAAGUUCAACCAUGUAAGAUGAUCCAUUAUCUAGCUAUAACAGAAUUUAUUAAACUACUUUCCUAUUGUUAGACACUUAGGCUAUUUCCAGUUUUUACCUAUUGUACAUAUUGUUGUGACUAACAUCCUUGAACUUAAAUCUAUGGGCAUAUCCUAAUUAUUUCCUGUAGAUAAAUUCUUAAAGAUAAUAUGAUUGGGUCAAAAGGCAACUGUUUUAAAAUGAUUACAGCAUUAUUACCACCCUAAGAUAACCACUGCUAACAAUUUGAUGCAUAUUUUUACAGUCUUUUUAAAAACCUAAUAUGCACGUGCAUGCAUUUAUAUAUUUAUGUAUAU
Non-coding RNA from Equus caballus (horse), 5329 nucleotides. The record is from RefSeq and is a predicted model, not a curated record. Lineage: Eukaryota; Metazoa; Chordata; Mammalia; Perissodactyla; Equidae.